UAAGUGGUGGAAAUUAAACCAAAUGGGAUAUCUUUAGUAAUUGCGAAUGAACAAGGAUAUGCUUAGCUUGACAAAUGGAGCUAUUGGCUUUGAAUUGUAUUGUGGAAAUGUAUUACCAACAGAGGUGCAGGUGCCAGCCUAUUGAAAUAAAGCGUCAAUGAGGGUGAGAAUCCUGUUUGUCAUGUGCAGCCCUUUGUGCACGGUGUAUAUUUGCUGAGUCACACUCCUUGGCAUUGGAAUGCAAAGUGGGUGGUAAGUUUCAUGUAAAGGUAAACAUGCAAUUGAGACUGAUAGCACACAAGUACCAUGAGGGAAAUAUGAAAAGGACUUUGAAAAGAGAAUUAAAUGAGUUUGUAUUUGCUGAACACAAAGUAAACAGACUUGAUUUGCUUGGUGGGAGUGUUGCACUUGCUUGACAAGAGCUUUGGGCUGUGGGUGUAAUGAUUCUUUCUUUGCAUGCCAGUUUCUAUUUGUACAUCUGAUUACCUUUGCACAUGAAUGAUAAGUCUCCUGUGGGGGGUGGAUUGCAUGUGCAUGUAAUGAUUUGUGUUUUGAUAAAUGUGUCUGGUGUAUGUGUGUGUUCUUGUGCUUGGGGAUGCUUCCUUCCUUGGACUUACAAGCCCUGACACACACAUGCUGGCAAAAUGCUUCUGCUUGACCCG
Molecule: ribosomal RNA, 662 nt
Filed under: Alexandrium sp. YOC98b
Lineage: Eukaryota; Dinophyceae; Gonyaulacales; Pyrocystaceae
Description: LSU rRNA
Rfam family: Eukaryotic large subunit ribosomal RNA
Source: RNAcentral